GUGUCAGCAGCCGCGGUAAAACGUAGGGGGCAAGCGUUAUCCGGAAUUACUGGGCGUAAAGGGCGUCUAGGCGGUUGGCUAAGUCUCGCGUGAAAGCUCCCGGCUCAACUGGGAGAGGGCGCGGGAAACUGACCAGCUAGAGACUCGGAGGGGGGUGUGGAAUUCCCGGUGGAGUGGUGAAAUGCGUUGAGAUCGGGAGGAACACCCGUGGCGAAGGCGGCACCCUGGCCGAGGUCUGACGCUGAAGCGCGACAGCGUGGGGAGCAAACGGGAUUAGAUACCCGCGUAGUCC
This 292-nucleotide ribosomal RNA is filed under the name uncultured bacterium. RNAcentral's name for it is "partial 16S ribosomal RNA". It matches the Rfam family "Bacterial small subunit ribosomal RNA", at positions 505 to 796 of the family's 1533-position model. The record is from RNAcentral.